AUGUCGCAUGGUGAAUCAUCCGGCGGCGGCAGGACCGUGCGGGUGGUCGACGUGUGGGCCCAGAACGAGGCGGCGGAGCUGGCCCGCAUCCGCGGCCUCGCCCGGGGCUUCAGGGUCGCGGCGGUGGCCACGUCCAUCGAGCUGCCGCCGGGCCCGUCGCCCACGCGCACCCUGGACGACAGCUACGAUGCCGUCCGCGCCGCCGUGGACGGCGUGCGGUCCGUGCAGCUGGGCCUGGCCCUCCUCAGCUUCGACGGCGACCUGCCUCCGGCCGGCCGCGUGUGGCGGUUCCACCUCGGGGAGGGGCGCGGCGAGGCCAACCCGCACCGCUUCUGCGAGGCCCUCUGGAGCUGCACCCGCGCCACCAUGCCCGACUGCGUCUGCGCCACGCGGGACGGCGCCGCCGACGUGGCGUACCUUCUCAGGCAUCUUGACGGCGGCAUCCCGCCCCGGCGCGAGGCGUUCCUGCGGAGGUGCAACAUCUUCUUCCCCCAACUGUACGACCUGAGGGUGCUGGCGGAGUAG
Molecule: ribosomal RNA, 525 nt
Filed under: Triticum aestivum (bread wheat)
Lineage: Eukaryota; Viridiplantae; Streptophyta; Magnoliopsida; Poales; Poaceae
Description: partial small subunit ribosomal RNA
Source: RNAcentral